RNAcentral lists this ribosomal RNA (253 nucleotides) under uncultured prokaryote. Its description in RNAcentral is "partial 16S ribosomal RNA". It matches the Rfam family "Bacterial small subunit ribosomal RNA", at positions 524 to 776 of the family's 1533-position model. The record is from RNAcentral.
UACAGAGGGUGCGAGCGUUGUUCGGAAUUAUUGGGCGUAAAGGGCGCGUAGGCGGUGCGGUAAGUCACCUGUGAAAUCUCCCGGCUCAACUGGGAGUCUGCAGGCGAAACUGCCGUGCUGGAGUAUGGGAGAGGUGCGUGGAAUUCCCGGUGUAGCGGUGAAAUGCGUAGAGAUCGGGAGGAACACCAGCGGCGAAGGCGGCGAACUGGACAGUAACUGACACUAAACUACGAAAGCGUGGGGAGCAAACAGG